GAAAUGUACACCUUACCUGAUAGUAUUAUGCAGGGGUAUCACUUGGAAUUGAUGGUGUUGCUUGAAGGCAGAGCAAAAACCAACAUGUGGAAGGUGGUGCUGAGCUUCUCAACCUGGGGCUUGCUUGCAACUGCAACCAGCCAACAAACCAACAGCUACGGGUGAACCAUCUCCCUGAUCCUUCCAUUGCACUGCAUCUUUGACUCCUCAUGGGUAUAUAUAUGCCAGGCCAUAGGCAGCAUAUGUCUACUGAUCUCUGAGACUCGGCAGAGGCAACACCGUGAAACUUCCAAGCCGAAGCAAUAUCAUGGCUCCCUUCAACAAUGGCCGAUCAUGCUUUGUUGCAGAUGAUGAUGUUUCUGAGGGCUCGGAAACAGCGUCCUUCAUAAGGUAAAUUGUUUCCAGGAUUUUUUAUGCUACUAUAUAUAUCCUGAUGUGUUCUGUAAUUUGUACUAUAGUAAAGUUGUUAUGUUUCGGUUUCAUUGCUCUGAAUGAUACAAGCUUCUCUUGUUUGAUUAGUAGUAACAUUGCCUGAUGAUUAUUGUUGAAGAUAUUUUUAUAUCAUUGGGGAGGUUUCUCCCUGAAGGGGAGCCUUGGCGCAGUGGUAAAGCUGCUGCCUUGUGACCAUGAGGUCACGGGUUCAAGUCCUGGAAACAGCCUCUUACAGAAAUGUAGGGAAAGGCUGCAUACUAUAGACCCAAAGUGGUCGGACCCUUCCCCGGACCCUGCGCAAGCGGGAGCUACAUGCACCGGGCUGCCCUUUGGGGAGGUUUCUCCCUGGUUCCAUUACUAGAACAAAAUUUGGAUAAUUGCAGUCAGUUUUAUACGGCCUCAUCUCAAACAGAAAAAUCAUUUAGUGCCGUCGGUCUGUUCUCCAAACUAACAGCAGAUGAGCAUACCAUUUUCUCUCAGAAGAAUGAAAAGUAGACGGGCAUGUCUUGUCGUCGUCAAAAUGGUGCUAUUUUGUGGCACAACGGCGCAGCAUACAAGCAGCUUACCUCUUUGAAUUCAGAAGCAACUUUUUUUUUGGAAACAACGAACCUCCCUCGUCGGUUUCCACUAGAGAAACCUAGAGUCUUACAACAUUCGAAGAGAGAGAGAAAGCAUAAGAACACCUGGAGCGAUAUACCCAGGGCAGUUUGUGCAUCAUCAGGCAAACUAAUAUAUAUUAGCUUUCAGGUAACUGUGCAGGUCCUGAAAACCAGCUCACACGCAGCAGUUUCUUCAGAACUUUUAAGCAGGGCCUUUUGGCACUCACACACAAACUGGAACAAGCCUUGUAAAGCAAACUAGAGAGGUUAUCACUCAAGGAAGAAAGAAAACAAGAAGGCGGUGUAGUAGAAAUCAUCCACCCGUGAUUCUGGGAACCGUAGGGCCCCAUCCAUGGCUUCUGUUGUAGAUCUCCCGCACCACCUGCCUGAUCUUCUCCACAGCGAGCUCAAUGCUUCCUGCUUUCAGGUUUGUCUACAAGAUUUUCCAGUUGGUGAGAUGACUGCAAAUAUGGAAGAUAACUGGUGCAGGAUCAUUAGGCAUUUUCUUAUCAAAACAUGCUGCAUUUCUGGUUUUCCAUAUUGUCCACCAUAGAGCAGUCCCUCCCAUCAUAGCCAUUUUUCUUUUGGCUGGGAGGGAACUGGUCCGGUAAGCCAGAAGUAAGAUCGUAAGAUCAUGAACAUCAUCAGGCGUCUCACAAGGUCAAAAGCACAGAGAAUCACAUUAUAUUCAAACAGCAAAUGUUUGAUGAAGCAACCCGUUAAACGUAGCAAUCAGGAAGACAACCUGGUACGUACGUGGCAAGCAUGCUCGUUCACUACUGCAUUAUUGCAAUUUUCUAAAUUCAUAGUGUGCAGAUAGAGAAGAACCAUUUCAUGCCUCUUUUUGCUGUACAUUAUGGUUUUAUGAUCUUAGGUACGUUUCUGUUCAGCCUAGCCUGAGUGUUGUCCUGUGCUUCUUUUGAUUCUUGUUAACUCUAGCACUUGUUUCGAAAACGAGAGGGAUCAGGAAAACAAUGCUAGAUUAUCUCAACCAACAGCAUCCUCUCGGUUUAACAAAUUGUACAAAACAUUAUUAUGUAACUCAUACAAUCACUACAAGAAAGGCAGUCAUAUGAUUCAAUUAAAAUGUCUGCGUCUGCUAUAAAAUACAGAAGGUGCAACCAUAAUUACCUAAAUUUGAGUAACUAAGUUCACCAAAGUUUCAUGGCCAGUAUAUACCAAAACAAGAAAUACAUUUUCAGCCCUUUUUAACUUACAAAACACACACACGUAUCAGCUUUCCUCAGCGCGGCACCCGUGUCUUCUAUGCAACCGUGGAAUGGAAUGAACAAAUGACCUGUUGCCGCGCACCUCAUGGAACAUGACAGCGACUUGAAGCUCGCUGAAUCUCUUGGUCUCAUUUCAUCAUACGUAAUAAGCCAGCAAAGUAGACAACACAGUCCAGAACACCAAUAGUGGGAGCGUCCAUGGUUGUUUUGUCAGAGGGCUUGCACUAGGCAACCAUGGAUAGUCAUCGGGAGAUGGCAUGACACAGUUAUCACCAUUGAAGUACACACGCCGGGGAAACGCCCAUCCUUUUUGGAAGGUGAAAGUCUCCGAGUCCUUCCGCAUGAGUAGUUCUGACUGCGCGUUUCCAAGCGGGCCAGCUUGAUUGAGCAAAUCAUUGUAGAACUUCAUUCCCCAG
RNAcentral lists this long non-coding RNA (2676 nucleotides) under Triticum aestivum (bread wheat). Its description in RNAcentral is "long non-coding RNA (TAES_LNC006156)". Lineage: Eukaryota; Viridiplantae; Streptophyta; Magnoliopsida; Poales; Poaceae. The record is from RNAcentral.